Caenorhabditis elegans is the source of this 137-nucleotide non-coding RNA. The record is from Ensembl. Lineage: Eukaryota; Metazoa; Nematoda; Chromadorea; Rhabditida; Rhabditidae.
AGGUCUCUUCAUUCCGCCAUUCGGUGACAGCGGAUCAUAAAAAAUAAAUGGAUUUUUUGCGGGACACAAAACCCUCCCAUCGAACAUCUUGACACUGAUGGAGGAUGUGGGAUGCAGAGACAAAAUUGAUGGGAGAU